CGGAAUAACCGUUGGAAACGACGGCUAAUACCGGAUGACGACGUAAGUCCAAAGAUUUAUCGCCGAGGGAUGAGCCCGCGUAGGAUUAGCUAGUUGGUGUGGUAAAGGCGCACCAAGGCGACGAUCCUUAGCUGGUCUGAGAGGAUGAUCAGCCACACUGGGACUGAGACACGGCCCAGACUCCUACGGGAGGCAGCAGUGGGGAAUAUUGGACAAUGGGCGCAAGCCUGAUCCAGCAAUGCCGGGUGAGUGAUGAAGGCCUUAGGGUUGUAAAGCUCUUUUACCCGGGAUGAUAAUGACAGUACCGGGAGAAUAAGCUCCGGCUAACUCCGUGCCAGCAGCCGCGGUAAUACGGAGGGAGCUAGCGUUGUUCGGAAUUACUGGGCGUAAAGCGCACGUAGGCGGCUUUGU
RNAcentral lists this ribosomal RNA (411 nucleotides) under uncultured Sphingomonas sp. RNAcentral's name for it is "bacterial SSU rRNA". It matches the Rfam family "Bacterial small subunit ribosomal RNA", at positions 139 to 584 of the family's 1533-position model. The record is from RNAcentral. Lineage: Bacteria; Pseudomonadati; Pseudomonadota; Alphaproteobacteria; Sphingomonadales; Sphingomonadaceae.